This 72-nucleotide transfer RNA is filed under the name Marmota monax (woodchuck). It matches the Rfam family "tRNA". From Rfam's summary of the family: Transfer RNA (tRNA) molecules are approximately 80 nucleotides in length. Their secondary structure includes four short double-helical elements and three loops (D, anti-codon, and T loops). The record is from Rfam by way of RNAcentral. Lineage: Eukaryota; Metazoa; Chordata; Mammalia; Rodentia; Sciuridae.
UGGGGUGUGGCUCAAUGGUAGAGCACUUGCCUGGCAUGCGUGAGGCCAUGGGUUUGAUCCCCAGCAUCACAG